Marmota monax (woodchuck) is the source of this 2027-nucleotide long non-coding RNA. RefSeq lists it as uncharacterized. The transcript has 3 exons. The record is from RefSeq and is a predicted model, not a curated record. Lineage: Eukaryota; Metazoa; Chordata; Mammalia; Rodentia; Sciuridae.
UCAUAGGACACCAGUCACGUUGGAUUAGGGGUACUACUCCAGCAAGACCUCAUCUUAAGCAACAUCUUGAUACAUCAGGAAAGAUUCUCUUUCCAAAGAAGAGCACAUUCCCAGGAACCGGAGUGGGCAUGGAGGAAACAACCCGGACCUGCUUACCACUGAGCAUUUCCACUGAAAUGGGACAAAUUGCCUCAGAUGACUUCAACAGAAUAUCUUACCUUAUUUAGCAGAGCAAGAAAGAUAUGUGCAGCUGGGUUCCUUCCUGCAGAGCCCGAGUGGGAGAACAAAGAAGAAAAGUAGGUGGUGGCAGCCAAGAAGGAGAGCAGUAGAAAACCUCUGAGGCCACCAGAAAAAGAGAAACAAGGGGGAGUCCUUCACUAAGAAGAAAUUAUACCCAGAUAGUACCCAUAGGUAAAUUAAAUGAUCCCACAGCCAGCCACACAGAGACAGCCACAAAAGAGGGCCUUUAAGAACCACCAGAGGAAGCUCUAGAGACAACAAUGAUCAGGGCUUGUGAAAAAUGCUGGGGUCAACCCAGAGGGCUUUAUUGAUCCAUCAGAGCCAGGAAACAAGGAAGAAGACUCCUGGGCUCGAGGGAGAGGAUAGUGUAAACACCUGUGGGAAAGAACACAGACCUGCCCAGAACCGCUCAGUAACUCCUUUGUUUCUCUAUCUGGGGAAUGAUCUUCCUACUGGGAAGUGUAUAAGAAAAAGAAGCUUAGAGAGUUGUGGAACCCAGAGGGCCAGGAGCCCUGCAGCUUUAACCUCCUGAUAAACGCUGAGAUAGUAAAGCGGACAGACCUGCAAGCUUAGAUGAGCCAGACUCCAGGGAGGGGAACGUGGGCAAAGAGAGAAACGAAAGAUCCCAAAAGGCUCUGAUGUAAUUUUUUAAGAAAACGAGAGAAAGGUGGCAUCCGGGAAGCAUAGACAAGUUAGUGUUUAUUCCUGGCUGAAGAUUAGAAUCUGUCAUGAAGCAGUCAACUUCUCAGCCAUAGGCAUGAGCUGUGAGAAUAGGCCAUGCCAAAGUAACCACACUUUCUGCUUUUGUGGGACUGUCACUAGAUUCACAGAUAGGGGGGAGUUCACAGAGAUCAUGCACAUGGAUGUUGGCCAAGAUGCUCACAGUCCAUGUAAAUGAGAUGGAAAACAUGAAUUUGAUAGGACCACAUUACAGCCAUGGGCUGGAUGACCCCUGACCUGGGGUGCAGGCCAGUUGACAACAAAGGCCCCUCCUAGUUCCAUAACAGGAACACUGAGUUGAUGGCAGUUUUGAGCAAGAAGCUGUUAACUGACUGAAUUUCUAUUAGUGUACUUGGCUCUGGGCAUGCAAAGAUGUGUUGUUUCCCCAAGUGAACCUGUUCCUCAGAGGUGAACCCCCGCAAUUCCACCAAAAGGCCUCUCAAAAACUUGGACAUGACAGCAGCAUUAUUCUUAACAGCCAAAAAAAGGAAAUAACUCAAAUAUCUAUAACUGAAGAGAUAAAUAAAACGUGUAUAGCUACCUUUAAGAUCUGUGCAUUUCUCCAAAUAUAAAUAUCACCUAAUGAAAGAACAAAAACAGAGAAUGUGGCAUAUCCACACAAUGGAAUAUGAUUUGGCAUAAAAGGGAAUUAAAUGCUGGUACACCCUACAACACUGAUGAACCUUUAUUACAUUAUGCUAACUGGGAGGAGACAGUCACAAAAGACUACACAUUGUGUGAUUUUGUUUUCAUUUCUUUGUAUGAAAGGCUUUGAACAGAUAAAGUUACAGAGCCCAGAAAGAUGAGUGAUUGUAGAUGAAUGCAUAAAGAAAAUGUGGUAAAUACAUACAAUGGAGUUUUAUUCAGCUAUUAAGAAAGAUGAAAUAGUGUCAUUUGAAGGAAUAAUGGAUGGAAGUUGAGACCUUUAUGUUAAGGGAAAUAAGCCAAACCCAGAAGGUCAAGGGUCAUAUGUUUUCUCUCACAUAUGGAGGCUAGAGAGAAAAAAGCAAAAGUAAAGUUGGGGGUGAUCACAUGAAAAGCAAAGGGAGAGUGGAACAGAGGAAAGU